AUUGAACGCUGGCGGCAGGCCUAACACAUGCAAGUCGAGCGGAGCGGCGGACGGGUGAGUAAUGCCUAGGAAUAUGCCUGGUAGUGGGGGAAAAAGUCCGGAAACGGGCGCUAAUACCGCAUACUAUCAGAUGAGCCUAGGUCGGUUUAGUAAGUGGGUGGGGUAAAGGCCUACCAAGGCGACGAUCCGUAACGGGUCUGAGAGGAUGAUCAGUCACACUGGAACGGAGACACGGUCCAGAUUCCUACGGGAGGCAGCAGUGGGGAAUAUUGGACAAUGGGCGAAAGCCUGAUCCAGCCAUGCCGCGUGUGUGAAGAGGGUCUGCGGAUUUUAAAGCACUUUAAGUUGGGAGGCGUUACCAACAGAAUAAGCACCGGCUAACUUCGUGCCAGCAGCCGCGGUAAUAC
This 407-nucleotide ribosomal RNA is filed under the name uncultured bacterium. Its description in RNAcentral is "partial 16S ribosomal RNA". It matches the Rfam family "Bacterial small subunit ribosomal RNA", at positions 30 to 526 of the family's 1533-position model. The record is from RNAcentral.